RNAcentral lists this ribosomal RNA (491 nucleotides) under uncultured Alteromonadaceae bacterium. RNAcentral describes it as "bacterial SSU rRNA". It matches the Rfam family "Bacterial small subunit ribosomal RNA", at positions 560 to 1050 of the family's 1533-position model. The record is from RNAcentral. Lineage: Bacteria; Pseudomonadati; Pseudomonadota; Gammaproteobacteria; Alteromonadales; Alteromonadaceae.
GUAAAGCGCACGCAGGCGGUCUGUUAAGCUAGAUGUGAAAGCCCCGCGCUCAACGUGGGAGGGUCAUUUAGAACUGGCAGACUAGAGUCUUGGAGAGGGGAGUGGAAUUCCAGGUGUAGCGGUGAAAUGCGUAGAGAUCUGGAGGAACAUCAAUGGCGAAGGCAACUCCCUGGCCAAAGACUGACGCUCAUGUGCGAAAGUGUGGGUAGCGAACAGGAUUAGAUACCCUGGUAGUCCACGCCGUAAACGAUGUCAACUAGCCGUUGGGACACUUGAUGUCUUAGUGGCGCAGCUAACGCGAUAAGUUGACCGCCUGGGGAGUACGGUCGCAAGAUUAAAACUCAAAUGAAUUGACGGGGGCCCGCACAAGCGGUGGAGCAUGUGGUUUAAUUCGAAGCAACGCGAAGAACCUUACCUACACUUGACAUCCAGAGAACUUUCUAGAGAUAGAUUGGUGCCUUCGGGAACUCUGAGACAGGUGCUGCAUGGCU